CGUAUGUUGGGAUCAUCGCAAGUAUUGUGUUGUAUGGAAGAGCUGUAUUUCAAUGCCAACUGAUCGGUGACCAUUUUAAAAGAAAUGUAACAAGGAAGUGGGACUUGGAUCACACACUAUCAUUAUAUAAUGGAAAGUCGAUUAAUUAUUCCAAAUAUACAGAAGAACUAUAUUCAAGUGGAUUUAGACUCAUUGUUCAUAAUUUCACAGAAUACGAUUUAGGAAAAACUUACACAUGUGUGUACGGAUUUUUACAAAACUCUAUCAAAUUAUCACUCAGCGAUGAUUUGUUUAUAUCGCUACCUAGGAAAGUGGAUAAGGAUAUCACCUUUUGGAAAACCAAGGUGGAUAUAUAUGUGAGGUUCCAUGAUGUUUUUCCAGAGCCAAAAUGUACUUGCACUUUAAAUGAUGAAAGUAUCAACAAACCAUUUGACAGGAACUUCACGAUGGUCGGUGCAUUGUAUAUGGCAUCAUUUUGGAUCAGUUUAAACCUGAGCAGUUCUUCUUGUGUGGACAGAAUAAAUGUAAAUUGCUCUAUUUUGGAGGAAAUCGUUUUUGAUGAAGAAGCUUUGGACACGUGUACAGAUGUUUCCAUGUUGCCUGGUAGGACAAACACUCUCCUGGUUGUAUCCGUUGUUUUAAUAGUUGGACUUCUUGUGAAUAUUUUAAUACUGCUGGCUAUCUUCGUACAUAACACAGUUUACGGUUUUCGUUGAGAAAAAAUUGUAUCAGAAACUGUGGACAGACUGAAAACUAUAUUACAAGCAAAAUAGUGUAAUUCAAAAAUGUUCAACUGCUCACAAAUUAUGAGCAAUAAUUUGUGGUAUUUUUGAAAGUAUAUACACGCGCAUCUAUAUGACUGCUUUUUUUAAUAUUAUUUGUUUCAUGAGUUUUGCCUUAAAUGUUAGUUGUUCGUUUAAUGGACCACAAAAAACCCAUCGCUUAUGUGUAUGUUCAAUGACUUUGAAAGAAAAUGACAAGAGGUUAUCCAAAGCAAAUCAGUAUUUAAGCAUAUUAAUACUAAUUAGAUAAUAAACCUUUUU
Mytilus californianus (California mussel) is the source of this 1043-nucleotide long non-coding RNA. RefSeq lists it as uncharacterized. The transcript is spliced from 5 exons. Lineage: Eukaryota; Metazoa; Mollusca; Bivalvia; Mytilida; Mytilidae. The record is from RefSeq and is a predicted model, not a curated record.